Non-coding RNA from Ornithorhynchus anatinus (platypus), 138 nucleotides. NCBI's taxonomy places the organism in Eukaryota, Metazoa, Chordata, Mammalia, Monotremata, Ornithorhynchidae. The record is from Rfam.
CACUUCUCAGGGUUGCCCCUGGAGAGUUUCCAGUACUCUACCAGGCUGGACUAAGGGAGGAAGAGUCAAGCAGAGCCAUACCCAUUCCAUUCCUAGCUUGGCCAGUGACUAGCGAGUGGAAGACAGUCUGCCUCAAGU